UGGCGGACGGGUGAGUAACGCGUGAGAAUCUGCCUUUAGGUCGGGGACAACAGUUGGAAACGACUGCUAAUACCGGAUGUGCAGCAAUGUGAAGGAUUUAUUGCCUAAAGAUGAGCUCGCGUCUGAUUAGCUAGUAGGUGUGGUAAUGGCGCACCUAGGCGACGAUCAGUAACUGGUCUGAGAGGAUGACCAGUCACACUGGGACUGAGACACGGCCCAGACUCCUACGGGAGGCAGCAGUGGGGAAUUUUCCGCAAUGGGCGAAAGCCUGACGGAGCAAUACCGCGUGAGGGACGACGGCUUUUGGGUUGUAAACCUCUUUUCCCUGGGAAGAAGAUCUGACGGUACCAGGGGAAUCAGCAUCGGCUAACUUCGUGCCAGCAGCCGCGGUAAUACGAGGGAUGCAAGCGUUAUCCGGAAUUAUUGGGCGUAAAGCGUCCGCAGGUGGCUUUGUAAGUCUGUCGUUAAAGCGUGGAGCUCAACUCCAUAUCGGCGAUGGAAAC
Molecule: ribosomal RNA, 503 nt
Filed under: uncultured cyanobacterium
Lineage: Bacteria; Bacillati; Cyanobacteriota
Description: bacterial SSU rRNA
Rfam family: Bacterial small subunit ribosomal RNA
Source: RNAcentral